UUGGUCAUUUAGAGGAAGUAAAAGUACGUAACAAGGUCUCCGUAGGUGAACCUGCGGAAGGAUCAUUACCUAGAGUUGUAGGCUUUGCCUACCAUCUCUUACCCAUGUCUUUUGAGUACCUUCGUUUCCUCGGCGGGUCCGCCCGCCGAUUGGACAAACUUAAACCCUUUGUAAUUGAAAUCAGCGUCUGAAAAAACAUAAUAGUUACAACUUUCAACAACGGAUCUCUUGGUUCUGGCAUCGAUGAAGAACGCAG
RNAcentral lists this ribosomal RNA (256 nucleotides) under uncultured Ascomycota. RNAcentral's name for it is "partial 18S ribosomal RNA". The stretch from base 1 to 68 matches the Rfam family "Eukaryotic small subunit ribosomal RNA", at positions 1765 to 1831 of the family's 1831-position model. Lineage: Eukaryota; Fungi; Ascomycota. The record is from RNAcentral.